AAAAACAUGUCCUUUUGUUUUGUAUAUAAGGUCUAACCUGCCCUAUGAUUUUAUUUAAUGGCCGCGGUAUAUUAACUGUGCUAAGGUAGCAUAAUCAUUUGUCUUUUAAUUGAAGGCUAGUAUGAAUGGUUGGACGAGGCACAUGCUUUCUUUAAUUUAAUUAAUGAACUUAAUUUUUAAGUUAAAAAGCUUAAAUAGUUUUGAGGGACGAGAAGACCCUAUAGAUCUUUAUAUUUAAAUCUAUUAUUUAUUUUAGGGAGUUAAUUGUUUUAAUAGUUUUAUUUAUUUGGUUGGGGUGACUGUAGAAUAAAUAUAACUUCUAUUAUAUAUUUUCAUUAAUGAGUGUUUGUUUGAUCCAAAAUUUUUGAUUAGAAGAUUAAGUUACCUUAGGGAUAACAGCGUAAUUCUUUUGGAGAGUUCAUAUCGAUAAAUAGAGUUUGCGACCUCGAUGUUGGAUUAAAAUAAGUUUUAGGUGCAGAAGCUUAAAAACUAGGUCUGUUCGACCUUUAAUUUUUUACAUGAUCUGA
RNAcentral lists this ribosomal RNA (527 nucleotides) under Repipta sp. 00005117. Its description in RNAcentral is "partial 16S ribosomal RNA". It matches the Rfam family "Bacterial large subunit ribosomal RNA", at positions 1809 to 2608 of the family's 2925-position model. The record is from RNAcentral. Lineage: Eukaryota; Metazoa; Arthropoda; Insecta; Hemiptera; Reduviidae.